UGGGGGAUCGUCUAGCGGCAGGACAGCGGGCUCUGGACCCGUAAGCGAAGGUUCGAAUCCUUCUCCCCCAGCCA
Molecule: transfer RNA, 74 nt
Filed under: subsurface metagenome
Description: tRNA-Gln
Rfam family: tRNA
About the family: Transfer RNA (tRNA) molecules are approximately 80 nucleotides in length. Their secondary structure includes four short double-helical elements and three loops (D, anti-codon, and T loops).
Source: RNAcentral